AGAGUUUAUAGAGAUAAAUGUCAUAAUAUAAUCAGAGUAUUUAUUACAAAGCGGAAGUCUUACAAAAAUAAAAGAUAAAUAUAACAGGAUCUAAAAUCUAUUCUUGGCGCCAGAGAGUCAACUGGGAGACGCCACCUAGAUCGAAUCGAACUCCUCGAUGCGUGGCUCCACUUGAACCACCUGUUCUUCUCCUAUGGGGGGUGUGAGACAGCAAGGGUGAGCUCACAUAUGUUCAUCACUCAACAAGUUGUGGGGAAUAAUUUGCAUGAACUCACCAAAGGUGGGAGUUCAUGUGAUGUGUAAAGCUGAUCAACAAUAGGGGUUAAAGCUGAGCAUUGCUUUUAAUAAGUUGGUCAAAUUUUAUUAGCAAUUACUAAAUGUAAGUAAAUACCAAACCAUAAUAAAUAAUAAAACAAAAUUAAUAAUAAUCCCAUGCAAAUGCAAAUGACAAAUUGAAUUUAGGUUCCAUAAAUUAAUCAUGUGAGGGUCCGAGCUGCUCAUGACUGUGAGCAUGGCUAGUAUACCAGUUUUACACUCUGCAGAGGUUGCGCAUCUUUACCCACAAGUCAUGUUACCCAUCUGCCAAGGUGUCAUGAAUCCCAUACACCUCUACCGAGGAGGCGAGGCAGGGUAACACUACGAGGCCUUUACAAAGUUCCACUAUCUUCAGAAAACCCGCUACAGUUUAUAGGAAGCUCCAGUGCAGGAAUUCCUCGCCUGACCGCCAUUGUAGCAAAACCAACCCAAGGACCUCCCUACACUGACCACUCCCCUACUGCCGUUGCCCCUUUCGGGUAAGGUAGUCAUCCACUAGGUUUCCUAGUUAAUCAGCCAAGGGCGUCCCAUUAAACCCUUGUGGUAGCACUGUUUUCUCGGGUGGUCGCUCCAUGUUCCCAUUAACAUAAUGAUCUUAUCAUGAACAUAAAUAACAUAACAGAAUAAUAGGAACAUGGAUAUAAUGAAAUAUUAACCCGAAACCACAUAAUGCAAUAGCAUAACUAUCCAAGUGAAUCAGGGGUAAACAAGGUAAACAAGAUAAACAUACUAGGGUGACCUAUUGGGUCCCAUCAAAAUUAAACCUAUGCAUGAAUAGUGAUAAUAAAGAACAUUAAUGGGUAAAUGAAAGUGAUCAAGGGCACAACUUGCCUGGCACUUGAGAUUCCAGUUACCAGGGUGAUUCUUCAAAUCCUCGUAACCUUACUGCUAGUCGUAGCAAUACAAGCAGACAUGGUAUAGACAAAAUUAACAUCACACCAAACAUAAGUACAAACUGAAUAAUAAUGAUCUACGCGAAGCUACGAGAUCGUGGGAACGAGAACCACUAAAAUCGGUGUUACUGUUAAGAAGUUAUAGUUUUACAAAAGAUCUGUGUGAUUAAAAUAUUAAACUAUAUUAUAAUUUGGUUAAUAUAAAUCAUAUGAGAGGUUAUUCAUCUCUAAUCUAUGUCAUAAAUUGACCAUUGAUCAUAUUCUUGUAGAUUAUAAUGCUAAGUAGUUUAACGAGACUAACCAACAUAAGUUAAAUAAAGAUCUAAUUAUAAAAGAACAAGACAUGGUAUAUAAAUAUUGUUAUUGUGUUGGGGGCCUUCGGCUUCCGAAGGUCCUCAAAAACGUGAUUUGACAAAUGUUUUCUAAGUAUGCGAGCAGGUAUCUUCGGAAUCAGGUUGCGGGUAUACAGAAACAUGGUCAAGACGAAGCUUAUCUGGGACGGCGAUCACGACGAAGGAUAAGAUGAUCACGAAGCUACGUGCAGAAGAGCUUCGGCAUAACAACGGGAAGGGGAAACCGACUUUAAGAUGAAAAGCCAAAUUAGACCUCAAAGAAUUACUAUAGAGUUAUUGAUAAAUGUAAAGGGCAUUAAUGUAAUCUUGCAUGGGCUGCGACCCGUGCCUAUAAAUAGGUGAACAGUAUUCAUGUACUGUUCACGCUGACUUGGCAUUCACUUUUGCGUCACGCCUGUAUUCUCUUUCCUUCAAGCCGAAGGUACAUUUGUAAUUUAUCAUUGUUUACAUAAGCAAUAUAAAUGGAGAUAGAUUAAUAAUAAUGUUUACAGAAAUUAUGUUACUUUCUGUACUUUGUUCGAAUGUUCUCCAUCUUUUUAUCAUGAUCAUGAAGAUAUGUCCUUCAUGACCUUCGUCCUAAAUUCGUUAUAUCCGAAGGGAAAUAAUGAUUUGAAGGACGAAGGGCUUUGAUAUUUAACAUUUUAUGUUGCCUUAUUCUUGAUUCAUAGCAUUUGAGAAUAAGUCCCCAACAUUGGCGCCCACCUCCGGUGAACUCACUUCCAUUUUUUGAGUCUUGAACACUUUCGGCAAGCAUCACUUUCGUCAUGCCGCCGAAAAAAGCUUCAGCGACAGGGGCUGGUACUUUACAGCCGCUGGAUCCCAAUCAGGACGUCCUUUCUCUCAGAGAGGCCCGAAGCCAGAAGAGGAAGGUUGUUAGUCCAACACCUUCGGAAGAUGACUUGGAUCAGGAGAUCCAAAACCUAGAGAUCCUUCAGCAACAGGUGCAACGCAAGAAGGAGAAGAUGGCUCGUCUAGCUGACCUUCAGAGACAGAUAGACGAAGCUUCCGAAGAGGUUCGUCAUCUUGUUCAAGAUGACCAGAGCCGAAGGCCUCCACGCAAGGAGCUCCAUCAGGAAGGCUUUCACAAUGAGGACGACUGGUAUGAAGAUUUCCAUCAUGGAAAUUUUGCUUUCGAUGAUGCUUCUCCUCUCUCAACAGAAUUGCAGGCUACACCAUGGCCCCAGUCUUACAAGCCACCCCAACUCCCCAUGUAUGACGGUCAUACAAACCCGAAGCAAUUCUUGAUGAGCUAUGAAGCAACCAUAUCUUCGUAUGGUGGCAAUACUGCAGUCAUGGCAAAAUCUUUUGUCAUGGCCGUCAAGAGCGUUGCUCAGACCUGGUACUCUUCUCUUCGGCCAGGGACAAUCACUUCUUGGCAAAAGUUGAAGGAUAUGUUGAUAACUAGCUUCCAAGGGUUUCAGACGAAGCCAGUCACUGCUCAAGCUCUAUUUCAAUGUACCCAGGACCACGAAGAAUACCUCCAGGCGUAUGUCCGAAGGUUUCUGCGUCUGAGGGCACAUGCGCCAACAGUGCCCAAUGAAAUUGUCAUUGAGGCCAUGAUUAAGGGGCUUCGGCCGAGACCUUCAGCGCAGUACUUUGCCAGGAAGCCACCACAAACUUUGGAGAAGCUGCUCCAGAAGAUGGACGAAUAUAUUCGAGCUGACAAUGACUUCCGCCAAAGAAGGGAGGAAGCAUUCAGGUUCUCUGAAAUGACCAGGGGCUUCGGAGGAAGAUUUCACCCGAGGCACGUUAGGUCAAUUCAUAACUCUACUCAAAGUGAUGAUCGAGGGAGCCAGCAGCAAAGCCCACAAUACUCUUCACAAGCUUCGGGGCAGCAGCAAAGUUCUUUUCGGCUGCCAGCGCCAAGGGGCAGAGGCGCCAGGGGCUUCGGGGGAAGGUUUGGAGAUCAGCCAAGAAAAAUUUAUUGCCUAUUCUGUGGUGAAGACAAGGGCCAUACCACCAGGAUGUGCCACGUUACCAUCCAGAAGCAGAAGGAGAUAGCAGAAGCAGCUGCGCAACAAAGUCAGCCGAAGCAGGUCAUGCAUACUGCUUCGUAUCAUUCGCCUUAUAUUCCAGAAUAUGUAGGCAACCACCCUGCAGCUUCUGUUGCUUCGGCAAGCCAACCUCAAGCAUCUUGGCAGCAGCCUCCACCGCCACCGCCGACGCAGCGAGGACAGCAGCCAGAAGGGAGUCAGCACAAUCACCUUCAUAGAGACUUCAGAGAGGAGUCCGAAGCUCGCACAGUCAAUAGCACUGUGCCAGAGUCGAAGCACAUUUAUUGAUAAAUAUCCUACCUCAGCAGCAGUUUUUUUGCAUUUUUACAUUCAGUAUUAUCUUUUUGUUAAUAAGGAACAAUUAUGAGAAGUUUAAGCGUCUUUUAUCAUUUUUCAAUUUCUUGUAACACUGUCGUCUUUUACCAUAAUAAAAAUAUGUCCUUUCCAUAGGCUUGAGUUGCCGAAGCAUACGAAUUUAUGGUGGCAUGAAGGACCUUUGUAUUAUCAAAAAUUUGUUCUAACGGACACAGUGCAAAUUGUUCAAAACAGUAAAAAGUCGUUCCUAAGGGAGCACAGUGUAAGUUUUCUGAACCUACAGCGAAAAGUCAGCGCUGAUUCCACCGAAAGUAAAAGGCGAAGAAGCUCCUAAGGGAGGCUUACAACGAAAAAUAAACGCUGAUUCCGCUGAAAGUAAAAGGCGAAGAAGCUCCUAAGGGAGGCUUACAGCGAAAAAUAAACGCUGAUUCCGCUGAGAGUAAAAGGCGAAGAAGCUCCUAAGGGAGGCUUACAACGAAAAGUCAGCGCUGAUAUAAAAAGUGUGUGUGCUCUAUUACAGGGACAUGUAUCUGCGGCACAAAUAUCAUUUCGCAUAACAUAACAUCAUCACAUCAUUUUGCAUAACAUAAGCAUCAUACAGCAUAUUGCAUGUGGAACAAGAAGGGGAUACAGUGUUGAUCUUCGGAGAAUAUUUUGGAAAAGAGAAAAUCGUGCUAAGGCACAAGAUAAAUCGAGACGAAGUGUAGCUUCAUUAGAGAGGCAACACAAAACUUUUUUAUAGCUUCGGAGAAUAUUUCACGAAGCUUGGAUAUUCUUCAUCAAAGAAAUAUGCAAAAUUUUUGUGAUAUAGAAAAGAUUUUCUUCACGAAGCAUGAAAAGAAGGGAAGGUGUUUUUUCGCCGAAGGCUCAAAAAUGGUAUGUAUGCAAAAUUUCAUGCAUCGUAAAGAAUUAAACUAUAAAUAGAUUAUAUAUUACAUUCAAAGUUACAAUGUAUUACACAUGUUACGUUCCAAAUGUUUCUACAAUAGCGUUUAAUCCUCCUUAAGAACUAUUUCUGCAGCUUCGUUCAGUAGCUGGUCGACAACCUUGUCCAUAAUGGCUUCGGCCAUUUUUCUAAUUUCAUUGUCCCCCUUCGGAUGGGGGCCCGGAGAUGCCUCAGCAGGUUCUGAGGGAAGAGAAGAUACGGCUAUAUUACUAUUACAAACCGCGAACAAAGUCUGGAAUUAAAAAUUACAACAUAAUAAAAACCACUAAUUAAUACCUAUUUGCCCUUCGGGCUCUGUACUUUUCUCGGCAGCUUCUGUCACUUUUCUAGCAUCGUUGAUGCCUUUUUCACUCUUUUGAAUAAUUUCUUGUGCCAUUUCUCGGCCGCCGUUGUCCCAGAUAUCGGUGAAGAAUUUUCCGCCGACCAUGCUUGCUUCGGCUGAGGGGUCUUUAAUGUCUUCGGAGGACAAAGUAGCUUCGAACUGCGCUAAGGAUUUUUCAUGCUCGCAACCUUUCCUCUCCAAAACAGUAGCAAUUCCUCUAGCACCCGAAAAAGCACAUAUGUCACUGCGGUUAUUCAGGAUUUCCUCGAAGGCCUCUGCUUCGUGACUGAUUCAUUCCAUUGGACCUUCGGGAUUGCCUCUUGAGAAAUUCUCUUCACUAGAGAAUGUGCCAACGUUGGCGAAGCUGGAUUUUAUCUUCUUAACGCACUCUAUGGAUUUAACAUAGCAUUUUCUCUGGGAUGCACGAAGCUCUUUAACACUUAUUUCUAAAUGAUUGGCCCAUUGAUCACUAAGCUCUCGUUUUGUCUCUUCAAGUAUAUGUUCUUCUUUAGCUCUAGCUAGCUAUUUCUGAAGAUCUUUAAUUUCACGUUUUUGGGCUUCAGCUUGGGCCUUUGAGGUAGCUUCGUCCUCUUUUACCUUGUCCACCAAUGUAAGCAGAAUUUUAUCCUUUUCCAGAGCUUCGUUUCUCAGUUUAAUAACCUCUGAUCGUAGGUUGUUGAAAGCAAUUUCAUAGCUCUCGUCUUCGGCAUUCUUUUGCGCUCUCAACGCGUUGCUUAGUAUUAAACCCUAUAUGUAAAAGAGUUGGCAUAAGAAUAAAAGAAUGAGUUGCGAAUUAUAAAAUUUCCAAACGCGCAGUUCUCAUACCUUCAGACUAUUGUACGCAAGACUAUCCGCAAGAUCGACCUUCGUCAUAGCGCAUAAUCCAGCUUCAAGCUUCGGAAACCCCAUACUCCUAGCCAUCUCCCGGCACACAGAUAAUUCUUUGUUGUCUGGGAGGCAGUAUAGGAAGUCAUCUUUGUCUGUCCCAUUGAACACUAGUGCCCCCUUCGGAUAUUUCAAUUCUCUGGCAUAGUGAUUAGCUUCAAAAUUUUCUUCUUCGGAUAAUUUCUUUCCCGAAGCGUGUCGCACAGUAUAAUUGUAUAUUUUUGAAGGUGCUUCGGGGGCGGCAGUGUCGGUUUCUUCAACCAAAAUUGGCUCUGAUAUUUUUAUUUUCUCGGCUGCCUCUGCAAUGUUCGUUUCUUCGGUUUCAAAAGGUUUUACCUUGGUUGGCUCUGAAGGCCCAGCUUCAGUUUCAAAUUGUUGCUUCGAAGCUUCGGCACCAAAGGCUUCAGUAGACACUUCCGAAGUUUCAACAGUUCUCUUUGGAGUUAUGCUUGAAGAUUUAAUUGUCUCCAAAACAUCUAAUACAUUAACCAUUCUUUUUCUUUUUGGGGUUACGAUUGGACCUUUCGGCACCAAAACUUCUGAUGUUUUUGCUUUUUCGGUCCUUGGUUCUUCCAAUUUUUCUGUUGCUGGCACUUCGGUCAGCUCUUUGAUUUCUGGCAGCAGAGUCUUUGGUUCUUCCAAUUUUUCUGUUGCUGGCACUUCGGCCAGCUCUUUGGCUCCUGGCAGCAGAGUUGAUUCCUUAGCCUUGGGGGCCGAAGAGGUCUCACCGGCGAACUCAGGCACUGUGGCUAGUUCAAUGUAACGUGGCCGGUGUGUAAGAACCUUUACCCUUUUCCUCUUCGGCGCCGGCUCAGUAGGAGCGGCUGAGGCAGUUUCUUUCGCAGAAGAAGUGUUCUUUCUUUUUUGACCCUGCACUGGAUAAUGGUAGUCGGGGUACACGAACCCAAUUGCGUCAAAUACUCAGUUCAGUCUUUUCUUUUUUCGACCUCCGAAAGCUGCUGACAAUGCAGUAUCUUCGGCCUUUGAAUAUACUCCAAGCAGUUCAUCACUUACAGUUUCAAUGCUUUUUAGCCAGUCAUCAUCUGGCUCAACGAAUUUAUCUCCAAACUUAAAUGUGUACUUCAGCCUGACUAGUCCACUUUCGUCAGUCUCUUUAAUGUUCUCCUGCGGCAUCUCCCAUUUUUCCACAAGCGGCCAUACUCUGAAGGCAAUGUGUUCUUGGACCAAAUCCCUCGUCCCAAUAAAAGAGCAAACAACUCCGAAGGCUCUCGGCAUUCUUCGGCUGCUUCAUUCAUUUCCACCUUCGGCCUCCGCAGGCCGAAGCGUUGCCAGAUGGGAUGCAUAAUGAUCUUCUUUAUAUCUUCUCGAGAUUUCAAGUCAUUCUUCACGUAAAACCAUUCCGUCAUCCAGUCGCCAGGCCAUCUCUUUUGAAAAGUCGGCACGGGGCAGCUUGACCCAGACCGAGAGCCGAAGCUGUAGCAGCCAAAGUUGUUGUGAUAUUGUUCCUUACCCUAGGGUUUUGUCUCAUAUAACAAUUCGUAUAUGUUGCAGAAGCUUUUCGCAUCAGGUUCCAAGCCUUGGCUUCUCACGGCCCACACGAAGAUAUUCAUCCUUAUGAUUUCUUCGGGGGUAAGUUGGUGAAGGUAGAUUUCAAAUAUCUUCAGCACCUCUACAACAAAACUGCUUAGGGGAAAUCGUAGUCCAGCUUUCAAGAAGCUUCGGAAUACUACGACUUCAUUUUCCUCAGGAGUUGGACAAGUUCUCUCUCCUUCGUCGGCCCUCACAACGGACAAGUCCCGGAAAUAUCUUCCCCUCAUGUUGACAAGAUGAUUUUCUUUAAUACUUGAUUUGCCGAAAACCGCAUGGCUUGGUCGCCAAGGUCGAUCUUCGGAGUCUUCACCACCACUAUCCACAUCAUAGCUGUCGCUGUCACCAGUAUCUUCAGAUAAACCUUCUAAAAUUUCUUUGGUGAUCUUCUCUGUAUUAGUCUUCGACAUAGAUUGAAGAAAAACCAGAUGCAUUUCCUCAGAAAGACUCAGCUUCGAACCACCAACAACUUUGUUAUCUUCAGACAUCCUUGCAAACGCUAAGAAAGUGCUUUCAACGCCGAAGCCUUAAAAUUUAAAAGGCCGAGUAAAGGCUGUUGCGCGUAGGCUAAAGGUUGGGUGAGUAAAAACAGUUGGCAAGAUAGCGUGUCAAAUAACUCGGGGUGAGCUCUUAUUUAUACGCCCAGGGCGUUGGAAACUGGAGGGUCCCGCUUGUCAAAGACUGUUGCUAUUCUAGCAAAGAGAAGGUGUUUUUUCGGACCUUCGGCUUAAGGCCUUCGUCCAUUUCGCAAUAUGAAUUUAUCAUUACAGCAAAAUUAAUAUUGCGAGGGGCUACUGUUGGGGGCCUUCGGCUUCCGAAGGUCCUCAAAAACGUGAUUUGACAAAUGUUUUCUAAGUAUGCGAGCAGGUAUCUUCGGAAUCAGGUUGCGGGUAUACAGAAACAUGGUCAAGACGAAGCUUGACUGGGACGACGAUCACGACGAAGGAUAAGAUGAUCACGAAGCUACGUGCAGAAGAGCUUCGGCAUAACGACGGGAAGGGGAAACCGACUUUAAGAUGAAAAUCCAAAUUAGACCUCAAAGAAUUACUAUAGAGUUAUUGAUAAAUGUAAAGGACAUUAAUGUAAUCUUGCAUGGGCUGCGACCCGUGCCUAUAAAUAGGUGAACAAUAUUCCUGUACUGUUCACGCUGACUUGGCAUUCACUUUUGCGUCACACCUGUAUUCUCUUUCCUUCAAGCCGAAGGUACAUUUGUAAUUUAUCAUUGUUUACAUAAGCAAUAUAAAUGGAGAUAGAUUAAUAAUAAUGUUUACAGAAAUUAUGUUACUUUCUGUACUUUGUUCGAAUGUUCUCCAUCUUUUUAUCAUGAUCAUGAAGAUAUGUCCUUCAUGACCUUCGUCCUAAAUUCGUUAUAUCCAAAGGGAAAUAAUGAUUUGAAGGACGAAGGGCUUUGAUAUUUAACAUUUUAUGUUGCCUUGUUCUUGAUUCAUAGCAUUUGAGAACAAGUCCCAACAUAUUGCAUAGUAAAUAUUCAUAUGAAGCUAACGCAACUGGAAUGGCUCGAUUCGGAGUUAAAAUGGGGAAGUUAUGAAUUUCCCAAGUUUUAUGUAUUUGAUAUAAGAUUAAUUAGGAAAUAAAUUUUAAAGUGACUUUCAUGUCAAAACAGUGGCACUAUUUGGUAAACAACAACAUUACAAAAUUAUAGGAAUUAAAAUGGACUAAUUUGAAUUUAACAUGAAUUUCCUAUUGAUUAAACAAAUUCUAGCAAUUAUUUUUAUAUUAAAAAUUCCUUUCCAAAUUAUUUUUCUCUGAUUUUACUAACUCUCAAUACUACGCGCCAAUUACAAAGAAGUCCAGGGGCUUUAUCAAAAGAAUCCCCAGACCCAGUCAACAGUGCUCGGGACGACGGGUUUAUAUCUAAUUUCUGUGGGGUCUCUUUUGUAAAACGUACGAGGCCAAAGGGUUACGGUUAACUCUAGACCACUCGAUCCGCUACGGACGGCCUAGAUUCAAGAUCGUGAAUGAUUAUUUCUGCUCUAAUCUUAACCAUACCUUACCGAUCUAACGGUCACCGUUUCCAACCUGUUGGGCCCAUGCUUCGUUGCGCCGAAGGUCUUGCGUGAAGAAGCAGCUUCGGCUGAAAUCGUCCCCAGGAAAUGGCCGAAGGUUCCUUUUUAUAGAGCUUCGGCGUUGCAAACCGACAUAAAGAUAGAAUGACCUUUUUAUCCUUAGAGGUCUAAGAUAAUGUUGUAAACUUUUGUAAAGGGCAUAAUUGUAAUUCGUCACAGGCUGCGUCCUGUGUCUAUAAAUAGAUGAACAGUACCCCCGUACUGUUCACACGCUGACUUGGCAUUUGCUUUUGCGUCACGCUUGUACUUUUUACCUUCUCUCAGGACCGAAGGUACAUUUGUAAUUUGAAAUCAUUUCUAUUUUUCCAUGUUAAUAAAAUAGAAAUGAUUCUAUGAUGAUGCUUAUAUUAUAUUUCAUGCUUUAUAUGAGUCCUUCGUCAUUACUUGUUAUGUUUACGAAGGUAUGUCUCUUAUGACCUUCGUCCGAAAUUCAUUAUUUCCCGAAGGGACAUAAUGCUUCGAAGGACGAAGGACUUUAACACUUAACACUUUUUAUGUUGCCUUGUUCUUAACUCUUAGCAUUUGAGAACAAGUCCCCAACAUUGGCGCCCACCUCCGGUGAACUCACUUCCACUUUUCUGAGCUGAUGGCUUCGUUCAACAAUCAAGCUGGAGUUGCUUCGGACCCGAAGCUGGUGCUCCCGAUCACAGGUGGCUCGUCCUCAGAGCCAGCUAACAAGAAGCAGAAGAAGGAAGCGCAGAGAAGAGUACAGCAUGUUGGGGUGCAAGGACCCUUCAUCAAAUCAAGAUGGUCUCACAUUCCUAUUACCUUCUCUCAAGAGGACCUUCAGCUCAAAGAUUACCCACACAACGAUGCCAUGGUUAUCUCUUGUGUUAUCAAAGGAUUUCUGGUUCACAAUGUCUUGGUCGAUACAGGCAGUGCAGCUGACAUCAUAUUUGCUAAAGCCUUCAGACAGAUGCAAGAGCCAGAAGAUAAGAUUCAUGAUGCUACACAUCCUCUUUGUGGCUUCGGAGGAAGACAGAUUGUAGCACUGGGCAAGAUCACCAUGUCAGUAACCUUCGGAUUCAUCAACAACACUAGAACUGAGCAAGUUGUGUUUGACAUUGUUGACAUGGAAUAUCCUUACAAUGCAAUUAUUGGUCGUGGUACUCUUAAUGCCUUCGAAGCAAUCCUUCAUCCUGCCUAUCUUUGCAUGAAGAUACCUUCGGACCAAGGGCCUAUUGCUAUCCAUGGAAGCCAGGAAGCUGCUAGAAGGGCCGAAGGAAGCUGGACCGACUCCAAGGCAAUCCAUAAUAUAGAUGGAACUGAAGCUUGUGAACAGUACAAAUUCAGAAGGGAGAAGGCAGCUUCAGCAGAUCAGCCGAAGCCCAUGCUAUUGUGUGAGGACAUAGCAGAGCAGAAGGUGCUGUUGGGCUCGCAAUUAUCUGAAGACCAGGAGAAAACCUUGAUAAGGUUUUUAUUCAACAACAAAGAUGUUUUUGCAUGGUCGGCUAAUGAUCUCUGUGGAGUAAAUCGGGAUGUUAUUGAACAUUCGCUCAAUGUUGACCCAUCCUUCAGACCCCGAAAGCAGAGGCUUCGGAAAAUGUCUGAUGACAAGGCCGAAGGGGCUCGCAAUGAAGUAAAAAGACUCCUCAGUGCAGGAGUUAUCAGAGAAGUGAAGUAUCCAGAGUGGCUAGCUAACACUGUUAUGGUGAAGAAGGCCAAUGGCAAGUGGAGAAUGUGUAUCGAUUUCACAGAUCUCAACAAGGCUUGUCCGAAGGACGAAUUCCCGUUGCCAAGGAUAGACUCUCUAGUCGAUGCAGCAGCUUCUUCAGAGCUCAUGAGUCUCUUGGACUGUUACUCAGGAUAUCAUCAAAUCUGGAUGAAAAAGGAAGAUGAGCCGAAAACUAGCUUCAUAACUCCAAGUGGCACGUAUUGCUAUCUUCGGAUGCCUGAGGGGCUCAAAAACGCUGGAGGAAGUUUCAGCAGAAUGACUGCGAAGGUUCUUCAGUCUCAAAUAGGCAGAAAUGUGUUGACCUAUGUUGAUGACAUUAUCGUCAAAAGCACGAAGCAGGAAAAUCAUAUUGUUGAUCUGCAGGAGACCUUCGCCAGCUUCAGACAAGCUGGUUUGAAGCUGAAUCCAGAGAAAUGUGUCUUCGGAGUAAAGAAGGGUAAAUUUCUUGGAUGCUUGGUUUCAACAAAGGGAAUCGAAGCUAAUCCAAAUAAAAUCGAAGCUAUACUUCGAAUGGAGCCACCAACUACAAGAAAAGGGGCCCAAAGAUUGACAGGAAGGCUGGCAUCUCUCAACAGAUUUAUAUCCAGAUCAGCAGAAAGAAACUUACCAUUUUUCGAGGUGCUGAAGUCAGCCGAAGUCUUUCAAUGGGGCCCAAGUCAACAAAAAGCCUUCGAAGAGUUGAAGCAAUACUUGAUAGAUCUCACAACAUUAACUCCGCCAACGCCAGGGGCUCCUCUGUUGUUAUAUGUGGCAGCUUCGCACUCAGCAGUAAGUGCGGCGCUUGUCCAGGAGAAGCUUUAUGGCCAGCUUAAGAAGCAAGUUCCAGUGUAUUUUGUAUCUGAGGUCCUUAGUGUCUCAAAGAAAAAUUAUACAGAGCUGGAGAAGGUAUUAUAUGCCGUUUUAAUGGCAUCCAGGAAGCUUCGGCAUUAUUUUCAGGCAUACAAUAUCAUUGUUCCUUCUUCGCAGCCGUUGAAGGAUAUAAUGAGAAAUAGAGAAGCUACUGGACGGAUUGGGAAAUGGGCUGCAGAGCUCAACGAAUUUUACAUUGAUUAUGUGCAUAGAUCUUCGAUCCAGUCUCAAGCAUUGGCAGAUUUCAUUGCCGACUGGACGCCAGGGGCUCAGGAUGAAGAAGCAAAUAAAGAUGCCGAAGUGUGGACAGUGUUUUGUGAUGGCUCUUGGGGAAUCUUCGGAGCAGGUGCAGCUGCUGUGUUGGUUUCACCAUCCAAGGUCAAAACUUGUUAUGCAGCAAGACUUGAUUUCAGCUGCACGAACAAUAUUGCUGAGUACGAAGCCCUGCUUUUGGGCCUUCGGAAAUUAAAGGCAAUGGGAAUCAGAAGGGCAAUUCUUAAAACUGAUUCCCAGGUGGUUUCGGGUCAUGUUGACAAAAGUUGCAAGGCUAAAGAUCCGAAGCUUGAAAAAUAUCUAGAUACGGUCCGAAGGAUCGAAGCAUCCUUCGAAGGAUUCUCUGUCAAGAAUAUUCCUCGAGGACAAAAUGAGCAUGCUGAUUUGCUAGCUAAGUCUGCGGCACAGGGGCUGCCGUUACCUUCGGAUGUGUUCUUCGAAACAAUAAAGGCACCUUCAGUGGAGCUCCUUGAAAGAGCAGUCCUCAACAUAUCUCCUGUUUACAGCGAAGAUUGGAGAACUGAAAUAAUCUCUUACCUUCAGGGUAAGUUCCUUUCAGAUGACGAAGCUUACAAUAAAAGAAUAGAGGCAAGAGCUCGUCCGUAUGUCAUGAUAGAAGGGGAAUUAUACAAACAUGGAGUUUGCGCUCCGCUGCUCAAGUGCUUAUCUAGAGCCGAAGGUAUAGAGUUGAUGAAAGAGAUACAUGCAGGCCUGUGUGGAUCCCACAUCGGAUCCAGGCCAUUACUUGGGAAAGUCUUCCGCCAAGGGUUUUAUUGGCCGAAGGCAGCUUCGGAUGCGGCGGAGUUAGUGCAAAAGUGCGAAGGUUGUCAGAAAUGUGCAAGAGAUCAAAAACAACCUUCGUCUUUGACACAGCUGAUACAACCCAUCUGGCCAUUGCAAAGGUGGGGCCUUGACUUGUUGGGUCCAUUACCACCGGCUCAAGGGAAUCUAAAAUAUGUUAUAGUGGCUGUGGAGUAUUUUUCCAAGUGGAUUGAGGCGAAGCCAUUGGCCACAAUAACUUCGGCCACUGUCCAAAAGUUUUUCUGGCAGAAUAUUGUCUGUCGCUUCGGGGUACCGAAGGCAAUCACUGUAGAUAAUGGAACGCAGUUUGACUCCGAAGCUUUCAGAAAUUUCUGUGAUCAAAUUGGAACGAAGAUCCAUUUUGCAUCAGUCAGGCAUCCGGAGUCAAAUGGGCUCGUUGAAAGGGCCAACGGCAUUAUAAUGACAGGAAUAAUGAAGUUAAUCUUCAAUCAACCCAGGGGAAAGUGGCCAGAUCAGUUAAUCAAAGUGGUGUGGAGCCACAAUACAACAACAUCAAGGUCUACAGGCUUUACCCCAUUCAAAUUAUUAUUCGGUGACGAAGCAAUAACUCCGGAGGAAGCAAAAGCUGGAUCAAUAAGAGUAGUAGCUUCGGCAGAAUCAGGUCCCGAAAAUGCUUGCCUUGUGGAAAAGGAUGCUUUAGAAGGGAUCAGGCUUCAGGCCGUGGAGAAUAUCAAUAAAUAUCAGGCUGAAACAGUUAAAUGGCGAGAUAGAAAAGUCCGGCUAAAAAAUAUUGAGCCGGGACACUUGGUGCUUCGGAGAGUGGCUAACCCAGAUACAGUGGGUAAGCUACAGUUGAAAUGGGAAGGACCAUUCUUAGUAGUAUCUUCGUCAAGGCCUGGAUCAUACAGAUUGAAGGACAUGGAUGGCAACGAAAUUCCAAGGUCUUGGAAUGCGGAUGAGCUUCGGCGAUACUAUGUAUAACAUGAUGUAAUUUUUUAUGUUUUUUCUUUUCUUUUUCAUGGCACCCUUUUCCUUUCCGAAGGGGGAGAAAGGUUUUUAAUGGGGCCAUCAUGUGUAAUUUCCUUUUUUAGUCUUAUAAGAGCAAAAUCCCCCAAAAAAUGUAAAUGUAACAGCUGAGAACGCACCAUCGAGUGCAGAAACUGAAAAAGAAAAAAGAGAAGAAGCUCCAAAGACGUUCCUAAGGGAAUGCAGAGCUUAUACCGCCUAAGUAAAAGGCGAAGAAACUCCAAAGACGUUCCUAAGGGAAUGCAGAGUUUAUACCGCCUAAGUAAAAGACGAAGAAGCUCCAAAGACGUUCCUAAGGGAAUGCAGAGCUUAUACCGCCUAAGUAAAAGGCGAAGAAACUCCAAAGACGUUCCUAAGGGAAUGCAGAGUUUAUACCGUCUAAGUAAAAGACGAGGAAGCUCCAAAGUCGUUCCUAAGGGAAUGCAGAGCUGAUGUGUGGUUGAUUCCAAGGAAAUAAUGGUUGAGUGUGGCUUCGGUUAUAUGCUUUGGACAUUCAUUCGCACAUUACAUCAUAGCAUUUGCAUUCAUAAGCAUUCAUUCAUAGCAUUUGUGUUCCUAAGUGGUUGCUUCGGCAAAAGGAAGAAGUGGUCUUUUAUGUUUCGUCAUGUACAAAAAGAAAAAGCUUCGGCAAGAAGAAGAAGCGGUCUUUUAUGUUUCGUCAUGUACAAGAAAGAAAAAGCUUCGGCAAGAAGAAGAAGCGGUCUUUUAUGUUUCGUCAUGUACAAAAAAGAAAAGCUUCGGCAAGAGGAAGAAGCGGUCUUUUAUGUUUCGUCAUGUACAAAAAAGAAAAGCUUUGGCAAAAAGAAGAAAUGGUCUUUUAUGCUUCGUUGUGUCCGAAAAGAAGGGAAGGUGUUUUUUCGCCUUCGGCUCAAAAUACUGAUUUCGUCCACAUCAAAGCGUCUCAAUAAAAGGGUAAGAAUAUAUUACAAGGUAUGAACAAAGUUCCUUGAGAAUAGAUUAAUUGUAUUUACAAAAAGUUGUUACAAAUUCUCCUGAGUUUUUUCUAGUCUACUCCUAAUAAUCUUCGUCAGGUUUCUGCUUCGGCGGCAUAUCCUUUAAGUAUCACCUUCAGCUUCGUCAUCCUACAUGAAUCAAGGUAUCCCGAGUAAAAAUCAAGUGUGAAGGAGGAGGUAAGUACAAAGUAUGAUUUCUUACUGGUUCAAGAUGACUUCGAGCUUCGUCCCCAGCCUUCUCUCGCCCGCCUUUUGUCCAUAUCAUUUUUAUGAAUCUAUUUGAGAUGCUCCGGGCGAGGUCAGGAAUGUCGUCGAGAAUUGAUGGAGACAGGGCGAAGUUGGGCCUGUUGACAAUCUUUCCAUGCUCGCAGCCAGCCUUCAGGAAUGCUGCAGCAGUACCCCGAGAAGCUACCCAGGCACAGAAGUCACCAUGCCCAGCUAUAACUUCGUCAAGUUCUUCAAUUUCAGCUUCGAUAUGAUCGAAGGCUUUUGGUAAAUCUUCAUCCGAAGGGGUAAAUUUCCCGCUGCUGGCUCCAACUGAGUAAAAGAUCUUCUUUAGUUGUUGGAUACAAUUGUUGCUAAAAUUCAAACAUUUAUCCUGAAGGCUUGUUAAUGAUUUCUUCAAAUUUGAGUUGGCUUGGACUUCGGCUUCAAGUUUCGAGUCAAGUUUUAGCUUCUCUUGUUCAAAUUGUUUUGAUUGGCAGAGAAGCUUCGAAUUCAAUUCUGCUACUUUGGCUUCAGUCUCUGCCAGCAAGCCUUCGGUUGAUUGAAGUUCGAAGUCUUUCUUUUCAAUAAUAGCUGAUUGUUCUUUUAUCUUGCUCUCUAAAUUUUCAAUUAUAGCUUCGUGCUUUUUAUCUUCUAGAUCUUGCUGCAUCCUCAAAGCUUUGCUUAGAAGCAUGCUCUGCAAAUAAACAACCUUCGUUAAAAAAUAUUGCCAUUAUUAAAAAACAAUAGAAGUUAGAGAGAAGGAUGUUUACCUUGAAAUUUGAAUAAAAUAAGCUGCCGACGAUAUGUUGUCGUCGGUAGCGGCUGAUGUCUGUCUCUAGUUUCGGAAAACCGAUACUCUUUGAUAGAGUACCGAUGACCUUAGCCCCAGCUGAGUCCCGGAUGCAGCCCAGUUUUUCAUCAUCAAUGCCUCCAAAUAGAAGAGCUCCUGGCUUGUAUCCGCAAGAUUUGGCGUAUUCCUUAAGCUCUUCUUUUUCGGCCUUCGACAGUUUUUGCCCGACUAAAUUUUGAAAUGAGUAGGCUUCGUCGUCCGAAGUGUCUUCGGCUAUUUCUUUCCCUUUCCCAGGCACUGUGGCCAUGGUUUCUUCAGCAGUGGUGGCAGCUUCUUCUGCAGCCAUGUCUGUUAAAAUUUUGUUGAUGUCUUCAAUAGUAGAUUCUAAGUUUACAUCUUCGGCUGUAGCGGCUUCGGUAGCCGUGACCUCCGAAGGUGCGACUUCGACAUUUUCUGUGCCCACAACAGCUGGUGUUUUCUGGAUUGACGCCCUCGGUGGCGUCUUGUCAAUAACUUCUGUUACGGCAAUAAUUCUUUGCCUUUUCGCUUUGGCUAUCUUCGUUUUUUCCGGCUCCGCCACCUUUUGAAAAAGCUUCGUCAGUCGAGGCCCUAAUGGACUUAGCUUCGUGGGCAUGGGUUCAGUCAUUACCUUUAGAAUUUCCUCCACGUCGCUAGUAGAAGGUGGUGUGGGGGUCCCCUCUUCUUCGGAUAGUUUUCGCUUUGGAGUUGAUAUUUUUCUCUUGACAAUUUUCUUCUUUUUUGGUGGUUGUUCUUCAUCCUUGUUUAAAGCUUCGGCCGCUCUUUUUCUUCUCUGGCCCUCAGCACCCUUGUUCAGCUGCGCAUAAUCAGGAUAUUCGAAACCCAGUGCAUCAAGCACUCGGUUCAGCCUUCGCUUCGGACGGGUGCCGAAGGCUGCUGUCAUCAGUUGAUCUUCCUUUUUCGAAUAAUUUCCAAGAAUUUCAUUACACAUCACCUCAACUGUAUCCAGCCACUCUUGGCAGGGCUUCUUAAAAUAUUUCUUGAAUUUGAAGUGGUAAGGAAGCCGGACAAGAUCCCCUUCCUUCUUCUCCCCCUUUAACUUUGGCAUUUCCCAUUUUUUCAGAGUAGGGAAGACUCUGAAUGCUAAGAAUUCUUGAACCAGAUCCCUGGUACCAAUAUGCUCUGCAACGAUUCUGAAUUCAUCCAUUGCCCGUUGAGUUUGACCCUCUGGUGUCAUGUUGCAGUGGGGUCGGGUUUCUCCAAAAGUUAGCUCGAGUGGACUUUGCACAAGCUUCUCCUUGUCCUCAUCAACCUUGACAUAGAACCAUUCUGAUUUCCAGCCUGCCGGCCAUUUGCUUCGGUAGCUGAUUACAGGAAACUUUGCGGUUUUCCGGUAGGCAAAAUUGUAGCAACCGAAGUUUUCAUGAAGCCCAUCUUUUCUGGCCUUUGUUUGAUAAUGCAAUUCAUGAACUCGACAGAAACUGUCAGCAAAAGGCUCCACUGCUUGGCUUCGGAGGGCCCAAAUAUAAACGCUAAGCCUAACGAUAGCGUUAGGAGUUAACUGAUGAAGGUAGAUGCCAAACCUCUUCAAUAUCUCCGCAACAAUCUCGUGAACAGGGAAUCUUAGCCCAGCCUUUAAAAAGCUUUUGAAGAUGACAACCUCGUCCUUCUCUGGCUUCGGGGUGGUCUCUUCUCCCCCGAAGCGAAGUAGCUUCUUCUGAUCUUCACUGAAAAAACCUGCUUUCACCAUCUUGGCGAGAUCAACCUUUGAAACAGUCGAUUUUCCGAAGUCUAGGUGGCUGGGUUUGCUGGGCAUGGCAAUACGGUAGUCAUCUUCGGAGUCGGUUUCUUCAAUGUUCCCUUCUCCUUCGGCAGCUGUCGGGUUUGCUUCGGCAGCAGGCAUUUCUUCCGCAGUCACCAGUCCGGAGCGCUGCAUCGCUUCGGAGAUGGGCACAGUCUCCGAAGCUUCAGUUUCGUCCCCCUCACGCUCAACCCUAGCUGUAGAGCGAACUCUGGCCAUUUAAUUAUGAACUUGUGAAACUUUGAUACUUUUUUCUCCGAAGCAGGCUUCAAGAUGGAGCUUCGUUCAAAUCUGACAAACAAGCUUCGGUGAUGGUUAAAAAUUUUGGCAGCAAAACAGUGCAAAUAGCAGUAAAUGCUGUGGUAACUUCACACCUACUCGUCUGUUUAUAUAGUGCUGCAGGUAAGAAGGCGAAGCGGCAGGGUUUUUACACCAGGCGGGCAGUAACUUGUACUCGCUGCGCAGUGGACCGCAAAGACCAAACAGUGACUCUGCAAGGUGGGACCGACACGAUCUCGGGAAAUGAAUCGUUUCUCGGCAACGAGCUCAGGGAAGGUGUUUUUUGGACCUUCGGCUUCCCGAAGCUUGAGAGGAUUUUUUCACGGUUCAAGCUCGUUACGAAAAACGAUCUAGCGCCGCGAAAGGGGCUACUGUUGGGCCCAUGCUUCGUUGCGCCGAAGGUCUUGCGUGAAGAAGCAGCUUCGGCUGAAAUCGUCCCCAGGAAAUGGCCGAAGGUUCCUUUUUAUAGAGCUUCGGCGUUGCAAACCGACAUAAAGAUAGAAUGACCUUUUUAUCCUUAGAGGUCUAAGAUAAUGUUGUAAACUUUUGUAAAGGGCAUAAUUGUAAUUCGUCACAGGCUGCGUCCUGUGUCUAUAAAUAGAUGAACAGUACCCCCGUACUGUUCACACGCUGACUUGGCAUUUGCUUUUGCGUCACGCUUGUACUUUUUACCUUCUCUCAGGACCGAAGGUACAUUUGUAAUUUGAAAUCAUUUCUAUUUUUCCAUGUUAAUAAAAUAGAAAUGAUUCUAUGAUGAUGCUUAUAUUAUAUUUCAUGCUUUAUAUGAGUCCUUCGUCAUUACUUGUUAUGUUUACGAAGGUAUGUCUCUUAUGACCUUCGUCCGAAAUUCAUUAUUUCCCGAAGGGACAUAAUGCUUCGAAGGACGAAGGACUUUAACACUUAACACUUUUUAUGUUGCCUUGUUCUUAACUCUUAGCAUUUGAGAACAAGUCCCCAACACAACCCAUGUCAUCUUCUCCUACCAGCCACUCAGCACGGCGGCGCAGUCCACCACGGCGGCGCGCCAAGACAGCACAACGGCGCCCUGCCUGCCGCGCAUAAUCCCCCAAUUUCCUAAUCGAGCGGAGCUACACGAUCCAGGGAAUACUACGAAUCUAAAGGGAGAGCCCUUACCAGCGAUUAUGCCGCAGGGGCAUGCCCCCACGAAGCAGGGUGAGGUCGCGACGGCCCAUGACUUCGGCGAGGAAUCACCCAACUCCGGCCACUCCGCACAGGCACCACACGGCAAACGGUGAAUCGGUGACGCGCACAGCGGCUUCCUCCCCGGUGCUUUCUCUCACGCGACGAGGGUGCACGCACGUACCCAGGUGGACGCGUAUGGCCCGGCGGCAUCACUCCCACCCGAGCGAACAGCCGAGGCCAUGCGGCUUCACAUGCAGGCAUCGGCGCAUGUACUCUCACUCUUCCUCGCUUGCCAAUGGCGGCAUCCUGCGCUGCGUUUG
This 19715-nucleotide long non-coding RNA is filed under the name Zea mays. RNAcentral describes it as "long non-coding RNA (ZMAY_LNC004330)". Lineage: Eukaryota; Viridiplantae; Streptophyta; Magnoliopsida; Poales; Poaceae. The record is from RNAcentral.